AUCAUACCAUCCUUUCCUCCUGUCUCCAGUGUGUAAUAUUUCAUGUAAUUGAUUUAAAUAUGCAAUAGUGAUUCGCAGUUCGUAACGUCAUAUCUUUUAUGAGUCAGUGAAGUAAUUUACAUGCGGAAUGACGUAGCGAUUAGUAAAAAAUUUGGAAAAAGAAUACUUCGAACAAGACUAAUUUUCGAACGAGAAUCGAUUUCCGCCGACGAUCGAAAGGCCAAGCUUGCGGAAAUCGAACCAUCCACGGAUGAAAAGCGAGAAUGAAGGAAGUCGGAAUGAACGAAUGGAUGGAGUAUCAAUAAAACUAACUAUGCAAAAAUACGUAUCGUGAUCCAUUAGCCUGAUCUGUAAUGGCUCAUCCUGCAAUUCUGCAUCGUCAACUUCAAAUUUAUACCAUUCCG
Linepithema humile (Argentine ant) is the source of this 404-nucleotide non-coding RNA. The record is from RefSeq and is a predicted model, not a curated record. Lineage: Eukaryota; Metazoa; Arthropoda; Insecta; Hymenoptera; Formicidae.